GCGCGGCCAGGAAGCUUGGGCGGCGGGUCCUGCCUGUGACUGCUGUGGAGGCUGCUGGUCCUGCCUGAAACGGCCGCGGAGGCGGCGGCUGUUCCAGACACCUGCGGCGGCGGCGACCCCCCGGCGGCGCGGAGAUGUGGCCCUUGGUGGCAGCGCUGUUGCUGGGUUCGUUUUGCAGCGGUUCAGCCCAGCUACUAUUUAAUAAAACCAAAUCAGUAGAAUUCACCUUUUGCAAUGAAACUGUUGUCAUCCCAUGUUUUGUUAUUAAUGUGGGGGCACAAAACACUAACGAAAUGUAUGUGAAGUGGAAAUUUAAAGGAAAAUACAUUUUCAUCUAUGAUGGAGGCCAAGACAACGCUACUAUGGACAGUAACUUUUCAAGUGCAAAAAUCGCAGUCUCCGAAUUACUUAAAGGAGAUGCUUCUUUGAAGAUGGAUAAGCGUGAUGCGAAAGUAGGAAACUACACAUGUGAAGUAACAGAAUUAACCAGAGAAGGUGAAACCGUUAUAGAACUCAAAUAUCGUGUUGUGUCAUGGUUUUCUCCAAAUGAAAAUAUUCUCGUCGUUAUUUUCCCAAUUUUGGCUAUACUUCUCUUCUGGGGACAAUUUGGCAUUUUAACACUUAAAUAUAAAUCCAACUGUACAAAUAAGAAAAUCAUCCUUUUACUUAUUGCUGGACUACUGCUCACUACAAUUGUCAUUGUUGGAGCCAUUCUCUUUGUCCCAGGAGAAUAUUCAGUAAAGAAUGCUUCAGGACUUGGUUUCAUCGUAAUUUCUACAGGGGUAUUAAUAUUACUUCAGUACAAUGUGUUUAUGACAGCUUUUGGGAUGACCUCCUUUACCAUUGCCAUAUUGAUCACUCAGGUGUUGGGCUAUGUGCUCGCUGUGGUUGGACUAUGUCUCUGUAUCAUGGCGUGUAUACCAGUGCAUGGCCCUCUUCUGAUUUCAGGUUUGGGUAUCAUAGCUCUAGCAGAAUUACUUGGACUAGUUUAUAUGAAGUUUGUGGAGUGCAGAGAGAGACCUUCGGUCAGUUGAAAGGCAAGAAGAGAAAAGCUUCUAAUCAGAGGACUAUACAAGCUCCUAGGAAAGCUGUAGAGGAACCACUUAAUGAGUAACUGAAGUGAAGUGAAGGACUCUGGUUUGGAGAGUCAUGGAACCUGAAGGAGUACACUUGUAUUUAAAGACCCCGGCCUUGAUGAUUCACUCUUGGGAAGAAGAAGAAAAAAAAAAAAAGAAAAGUAACUGGUACUCGUCUGUAAGAGAAAAUAAGUCAUUGACCCGUAAAUGAUUAUCACAGUUUUUAUUCAAAACAACUGUAAUUUAGUUAAUAAAAGAUUUAUGAUCUGUGUCGUGUG
This is a non-coding RNA of Marmota flaviventris (yellow-bellied marmot), 1354 nucleotides long. The record is from RefSeq and is a predicted model, not a curated record. NCBI's taxonomy places the organism in Eukaryota, Metazoa, Chordata, Mammalia, Rodentia, Sciuridae.